GAGCAACGCUGGCGGCGUGCUUACACAUGCAAGUCGAACGAUGAUGGCCGUGCUUGCACGGCUGGAUUAGUGGCGAACGGGUGAGUAACACGUGAGUAACCUGCCCUCCACUUCGGGAUAACCUCGGGAAAUCGGGGCUAAUACCGGAUAUGAGCACCUACUGCAUGGUGGGUGUUGGAAAGUUUUUCGGUGGGGGAUGGACUCGCGGCCUAUCAGCUUGUUGGUGAGGUAGUGGCUCACCAAGGCGUUGACGGGUAGCCGGCCUGAGAGGGCGACCGGCCACACUGGGACUGAGACACGGCCCAGACUCCUACGGGAGGCAGCAGUGGGGAAUAUUGCACAAUGGGCGAAAGCCUGAUGCAGCGACGCCGCGUGAGGGAUGACGGCCUUCGGGUUGUAAACCUCUUUCAGCAGGGAAGAAGCGAGAGUGACGGUACCUGCAGAAGAAGCGCCGGCUAACUACGUGCCAGCAGCCGCGGUAAUACGUAGGGCGCAAGCGUUGUCCGGAAUUAUUGGGCGUAAAGAGCUUGUAGGUGGCUUGUCGCGUCUGCCGUGAAAACCCGAGGCUCAACCUCGGGCGUGCGGUGGGUACGGGCAGGCUAGAGUGUGGUAGGGGAGACUGGAACUCCUGGUGUAGCGGUGAAAUGCGCAGAUAUCAGGAAGAACACCGAUGGCGAAGGCAGGUCUCUGGGCCAUUACUGACACUGAGAAGCGAAAGCAUGGGGAGCGAACAGGAUUAGAUACCCUGGUAGUCCAUGCCGUAAACGUUGGGCACUAGGUGUGGGGGACAUUCCACGUUUUCCGCGCCGUAGCUAACGCAUUAAGUGCCCCGCCUGGGGAGUACGGCCGCAAGGCUAAAACUCAAAGGAAUUGACGGGGGCCCGCACAAGCGGCGGAGCAUGCGGAUUAAUUCGAUGCAACGCGAAGACCCUUACCAAGGCUUGACAUGCACUGGACAGCUGCAGAGAUGUGCCUUCUUUGG
RNAcentral lists this ribosomal RNA (982 nucleotides) under Brachybacterium sp. RNAcentral's name for it is "bacterial SSU rRNA". It matches the Rfam family "Bacterial small subunit ribosomal RNA", at positions 28 to 1020 of the family's 1533-position model. Lineage: Bacteria; Bacillati; Actinomycetota; Actinomycetes; Micrococcales; Dermabacteraceae. The record is from RNAcentral.